GCGCCCAUAGCUCAAAGGUUAGAGCUUUCGGCUUAUAUCCGAAGGAUCCUGGUUCGAGUCCAGGUGGGCGUA
Molecule: non-coding RNA, 72 nt
Organism: Candidatus Buchananbacteria bacterium
Lineage: Bacteria; Candidatus Buchananiibacteriota
Source: Rfam